GAGCCCACUGUCUCCAUCUCAUGAAGGGUCUUAGGACUUGCCUCGUGCAAUCGGGCAACCAAGAUGUCAAGCUGGAUUUCAGGAGGGUCCAGGAUGCCAGACUUCUAGUCUGUGGGCAAGGGCAGCUCAAGCAGAAUAAGACGGGCUGGGACUAGGCACGUGUGGUGGUUUGUGGAUGGAGAGGAAGAUGACGGGACGGAGUCUGGAAGAAAUUCCCCACCACACUCUCCUUGCCGGCGUCCUAUCUGGGGCGGGUCCUUGCAAAGCCCACGUCGACGGAACCCCAUCGUGCAGGGACCUCUCAACAAAGGGGCAUAACUGCAGGACUCGGGGACCCAGAUGUCCCGGGCAGGCGUUCACCUUCCGUCACCUUCCUGAUCACACCAGCAGAGGGGGAAUGGGCCACAGCAGGGCUGCAGCCACGGCCUCCAGACGUUGUCCAGC
Non-coding RNA from Equus caballus (horse), 444 nucleotides. NCBI's taxonomy places the organism in Eukaryota, Metazoa, Chordata, Mammalia, Perissodactyla, Equidae. The record is from RefSeq and is a predicted model, not a curated record.